RNAcentral lists this ribosomal RNA (459 nucleotides) under uncultured bacterium. Its description in RNAcentral is "partial 16S ribosomal RNA". It matches the Rfam family "Bacterial small subunit ribosomal RNA", at positions 338 to 795 of the family's 1533-position model. The record is from RNAcentral.
CCUACGGGUGGCUGCAGUGAGGAAUAUUGGUCAAUGGGCGCGAGCCUGAACCAGCCAAGUCGCGUGAGGGAAGACGGUCCUAUGGAUUGUAAACCUCUUUUGUCGGGGACCAAAAGACGCCACGCGUGGCGUUCCGAGAGUACCUGAAGUAAAAGCAUCGGCUAACUCCGUGCCAGCAGCCGCGGUAAUACGGAGGAUGCGAGCGUUCUCCGGAUUUAUUGGGUUAAAGGGGUGCGCAGGCGGAAGAUCAAGUCAGUGGUAACAUUGAGAGGCUAAACUUCAUCGAGCCGUUGAAACUGGUGUUCUUGAGUGAGUGAGAAGUAUGCGGAAUGCGUGGUGUAGCGGUGAAAUGCAUAGAUAUCACGCAGAACUCCGAUUGCGAAGGCAGCAUACCGGCGCUCAACUGACGCUCAUGCACGAAAGUGUGGGUAUCGAACAGGAUUAGAUACCCGAGUAGUC